ACGUCAGGUGACAAAAAAGUUCACUUUCCUCAUGGAAGCUUAUGCCAUCCAACAAACCAAAAAAAAUGCAAAGAGUGUGGAUAUUUAUCACACAUAAGUGGUGUAAUUGGAUUUCUUGGUUUCUGACGCCUGAGACAUGACCGUAAAGCAACGCAACAAGUCGUGUAAUGAAUGAAGCUUUUGCUCUCAUGUUGUAAAAACUGAAGCACAAAAGGACUACUCUUUGAUGCACCAAGUCCGUUACUGUUGGUGGAACCGAAGGGAGGGAGAGCUGAGACGGCUUACUAUGCAGAAAUAGGAUCAUGUUGGUUCAUCGGAUAAAAAGGCCCAGAGAGGAGACAGUGGGUGAGGCCUGUCCUAAAGCACCCUGUGUCCAGAGUAGAACUAGGUCAACAGAGACCGCUGGUUGUAUGUGUGCGCAAGAGUGAUAAAGGCAGAGAGAGAAAACACACGGAAGUGACCAAACAUAUCAAUUGUUGGAGAGCUUCAGCUGGUGCCUCAUGAGUGAGGCCUAUGACUAAGAUCGGAAGAAGUAGGAGUGUGCCUGUGCCAAUGUUGCCAAACCAAUACUGUAGGGAAAAGA
Molecule: long non-coding RNA, 583 nt
Organism: Sphaeramia orbicularis (orbiculate cardinalfish)
Lineage: Eukaryota; Metazoa; Chordata; Actinopteri; Kurtiformes; Apogonidae
Exons: 3
Source: RefSeq, a predicted model, not a curated record